Molecule: transfer RNA, 79 nt
Filed under: Salmo salar (Atlantic salmon)
Lineage: Eukaryota; Metazoa; Chordata; Actinopteri; Salmoniformes; Salmonidae
Rfam family: tRNA
About the family: Transfer RNA (tRNA) molecules are approximately 80 nucleotides in length. Their secondary structure includes four short double-helical elements and three loops (D, anti-codon, and T loops).
Source: Rfam by way of RNAcentral
UGGCUCAGUUGGUAGAGCAUGGUGUUUGCAAUGCCCAGCAUAGUGUGUGCAACACCAAGGUUGUGGGUUCUAUUCCCAU